This 515-nucleotide ribosomal RNA is filed under the name uncultured Streptomyces sp. RNAcentral's name for it is "bacterial SSU rRNA". It matches the Rfam family "Bacterial small subunit ribosomal RNA", at positions 144 to 673 of the family's 1533-position model. Lineage: Bacteria; Bacillati; Actinomycetota; Actinomycetes; Kitasatosporales; Streptomycetaceae. The record is from RNAcentral.
CAAGCCCUGGAAACGGGGUCUAAUACCGGAUACGACCUUCGGAGGCAUCUCCUGGAGGUGGAAAGAACUUCGGUCAAGGAUCAGCUCACGGCCUAUCAGUUAGUUGGUGAGGUAAUGGCUCACCAAGACGACGACGGGUAGCCGGCCUGAGAGGGUGACCGGCCACACUGGGACUGAGACACGGCCCAGACUCCUACGGGAGGCAGCAGUGGGGAAUAUUGCACAAUGGGCGCAAGCCUGAUGCAGCAACGCCGCGUGAGGGACGACGGCCUUCGGGUUGUAAACCUCUUUUAGCAGGGAAGAAGCGAAAGUGACGGUACCUGCAGAAAAAGCACCGGCUAACUACGUGCCAGCAGCCGCGGUAAUACGUAGGGUGCAAGCGUUGUCCGGAAUUAUUGGGCGUAAAGAGCUCGUAGGCGGUUUGUCACGUCUGCUGUGAAAUCCCGAGGCUCAACCUCGGGCUUGCAGUGGGUACGGGCAGACUAGAGUGCGGUAGGGGAGAUCGGAAUUCCUGG